Molecule: long non-coding RNA, 626 nt
Organism: Capsicum annuum
Lineage: Eukaryota; Viridiplantae; Streptophyta; Magnoliopsida; Solanales; Solanaceae
Exons: 3
Source: RefSeq, a predicted model, not a curated record
AGACAACAUAAAAAAUUCGAUCUAUUCGAAACCUAACCCAACCCAAGUUUAUUCCCUUUAAAAGAGAAACUUACCCUAAACGCCUCAUUUUCACUUUUCAAAUUUUCUCCUUUCUUCCAAAUGCUCCCAUUCGACAGCUUCCAAAACCUCUAGCUCUGUCGUCUCCUCUUGUGAGUUUACUUCCACCUUGCUCUACCUCCACUUUGUAUUAUCCAACUCACACAAGAGUGUUCACUGUUUGGAGGAGGUAGUAGGUUGUCCAUCAUCAUGUGUAUUUGAGGGAGGUUGCUAUCUAGAAUCCACAGUUGGACCAAAGGUACCAGUUGAAGCACCUAGAUCAUAAUCAGACACUAUGUGGCUUUCAGUCAGCAGGUGAUGAGCCCUUUUGAUUCGAGGGGAUCGAGUCAAUUAUUGUUCGAGUAGCAUCUUAUUUUCUUUAUUCAUUCGUAUUGAUCAGGGAGAGUUGGGGGUCAUGUCUUGGCUACCUAUAGUUAGUAUUAGUAGAGACUUCAUAGAUAGUCAGUAGAGUUGAUGUAUUUAAUUUCUGUUUUGUUUUUGUAUAACCAUAGUUGUAAUCACUUUUUACAUUUUUGUAUUGAACCAACUUAGUAAAGACUUUUUUUCCA